Non-coding RNA from Microcebus murinus (gray mouse lemur), 277 nucleotides. NCBI's taxonomy places the organism in Eukaryota, Metazoa, Chordata, Mammalia, Primates, Cheirogaleidae. The record is from RefSeq and is a predicted model, not a curated record.
GGAAAACAUUCCAGUACGCCCUCAAAGGACUAAACAUAGAAUCGCCGUAUGACCCAGCGAUUCCACUCCUAGAAAAACAAACCCUAUGCAGAGACUGAAAAUGCGUGGCUAGCAGCACACAGUCCACAGGUUGUAAGCAUCACAAAAGAAGUAACCACGUCAGUUUCUGCCAGUAUCUAACCAGGGCCCAAUAAGUAAUUUCUUGACUUCAUGAUGUUCAAGGGUCCCAGGACCCAAUCCUUAGACCACUUCACCCAUCUGUCUAUACUCACUCUCC